CAAAUCUGAAACCGAACCACACAAGAAAUAUAAAUAUUCCUUCAGAAAAACCCUCAAAGAUCACCAAAGUCAAACAUCAGCAAAAUGAAACACAUACUGGGAUGCAGCUCUGGGAUCCUGCAUCAAAGCCGAGACAGAGACAGAGCUGCUGCUGACGGUGGAGGAGGUGGAGGUCCUGGUAGCAGUGGAGGUGGAGGAGGUGGAGGUCCUGGUAGCAGUGGAGGUGGAGGAGGUGGAGGUCCUGGUAGCAGUGGUGGCAGCAGCAGCAGGGUUACUCCUCUGUCUGUCUCGGCUUCUGACGUAGCGGACGGCGUUCUCCAUCUGCGUGCCUGGAGCUGGCGCCUUCCUCCUCAGGUAGUU
Long non-coding RNA from Amphiprion ocellaris (clown anemonefish), 360 nucleotides. The record is from Ensembl. NCBI's taxonomy places the organism in Eukaryota, Metazoa, Chordata, Actinopteri, Pomacentridae.